UACGGGAGGCAGCAGUGGGGAAUAUUGCACAAUGGGCGCAAGCCUGAUGCAGCCAUGCCGCGUGUAUGAAAAAGGCCUUCGGGUUGUAAAGUACUUUCAGUCGUGAGGAAGGUGUUAAGGUUAAUAACCUUAGCAAUUGACGUUAGCGACAGAAGAAGCACCGGCUAACUCCGUGCCAGCAGCCGCGGUAAUACGGAGGGUGCGAGCGUUAAUCGGAAUUACUGGGCGUAAAGGGCACGCAGGCGGUUAAUUAAGUUGGAUGUGAAAUCCCCGGGCUUAACCUGGGAAUGGCAUUCAAGACUGGUUAGCUAGAGUCUUGUAAAGGGGGUAGGAAUUCCAUGUGUAGCGGUGAAAUGCGUAGAGAUGUGGAGGAAUACCGGUGGCGAAGGCGGCCCCUGGACCAAAGACUGACGCUCAUGUGCGAAAGCGUGGGGAGCGAAACAGGGAUUAGAUA
RNAcentral lists this ribosomal RNA (454 nucleotides) under uncultured bacterium. RNAcentral describes it as "bacterial SSU rRNA". It matches the Rfam family "Bacterial small subunit ribosomal RNA", at positions 340 to 784 of the family's 1533-position model. The record is from RNAcentral.